Molecule: ribosomal RNA, 492 nt
Filed under: uncultured bacterium
Lineage: Bacteria
Description: partial 16S ribosomal RNA
Rfam family: Bacterial small subunit ribosomal RNA
Source: RNAcentral
AGUGAACGCUGGCGGUAGGCCUAACACAUGCAAGUCGAACGGCAGCACAGUAAGAGCUUGCUCUUACGGGUGGCGAGUGGCGGACGGGUGAGGAAUACAUCGGAAUCUACUUUUUCGUGGGGGAUAACGUAGGGAAACUUACGCUAAUACCGCAUACGACCUACGGGUGAAAGCAGGGGAUCUUCGGACCUUGCGCGAUUGAAUGAGCCGAUGUCGGAUUAGCUAGUUGGCGGGGUAAAGGCCCACCAAGGCGACGAUCCGUUGCUGGUCUGAGAGGAUGAUCGGCCACACUGGAACGGAGACGCGGUCCAGACGCCUAAGGGAGGCAGCAGUGGGGAAUAUUGGACAAUGGGCGCAAGCCUGAUCCAGCCAUAGCGCGUGGGUGAAGAAGGCCUUCGGGUUGUAAAGCCGUUUUGUUGGGAAAGAAAAGCAGCAGGUUAAUACCACGCUGUUGUGACGGUACCCGAAGAAUAAGCACCGGCUAACUACGUG